GCUCCCAUAGCUCAGGAGGAUAGAGCACAGGUUUCCUAAACCUGGUGUCGCGUGUUCGAAUCGCGCUGGGAGCA
Molecule: transfer RNA, 74 nt
Filed under: Chitinivibrio alkaliphilus ACht1
Lineage: Bacteria; Pseudomonadati; Fibrobacterota; Chitinivibrionia; Chitinivibrionales; Chitinivibrionaceae
Also listed under: 1 other name
Rfam family: tRNA
About the family: Transfer RNA (tRNA) molecules are approximately 80 nucleotides in length. Their secondary structure includes four short double-helical elements and three loops (D, anti-codon, and T loops). Further hydrogen bonds mediate the characteristic L-shaped molecular structure. tRNAs have two regions of fundamental functional importance: the anti-codon, which is responsible for specific mRNA codon recognition, and the 3' end, to which the tRNAs corresponding amino acid is attached (by aminoacyl-tRNA synthetases). tRNAs cope with the degeneracy of the genetic code in two manners: having more than one tRNA (with a specific anti-codon) for a particular amino acid; and 'wobble' base-pairing, i.e. permitting non-standard base-pairing at the 3rd anti-codon position.
Source: Rfam by way of RNAcentral